UGGAAUCAUCCAGUCUCCUGGUUCCGGCUGGUUCUGGAAUGACAAAAGCAGCUAAGGACUCUAGGGAGAGCUCACCCUGGACAACCACGCUCCCUUCCUCAGAGGCAAGGACUACAGAAAACCGCAGGACUUAAACUAACGGAAAGGGAACAUCUUUAACAAGCACAAGGCCCUGCAUUUGAUCCUAUGGACAUGAAAACCCUGGUCCUACUCUGUAUAAGAAGGCCUUUUUCCGUUUUAAAGCUGCUUGGUUGUUUCUGAAGGACGGUUACUGAACACCUGCACACUCCGAGACUGCGGCAGAGCUGACAAGCUCCCGCCAGAGCUGAUCCCGCGCAUCCCCAGUCAAGUGAGCCGGACGGCACCAGCCCUUCAACACCGAUGGCAUGCGGGGCACUGCAGAGGUUGCCAAGAGAGGCGGGAAACCAGAAACCACAGGCCCUCUAAGUUCCUUGCAAGUAAAACAGGUCAGAGUUUUAUAAAACUAUAAAAAAAUUUUAAGUGAGAAUAUAUUAAAAGACUAUCAUUAAAAUGUCAGUACUAUGUCAAUGUUACUUUUAUUAAAUUCUAUGAUGUUUUCUGAAGAAAAAAUAGAAAAAUCUACCCUAUAGACAGGCAGUGGAGGGGGGGGGGACCUCUUAAAUAUAUGGUCAAAGCUCCCAAGACCACUCAGUGGAGGAACAAGCAGUUUUUAGAGCAAAAGUCAUCGUGUGAACUAAACAAUCCCACGGAGAAUUAAAUCUGACCAUCACCUUAAACAAUAACAACUGGACAAGGUGCAGUAGCACAGCCUGCAAUCCAAGCACUUCCAAUGAGUGCUGAGGCAAGGAGAAAUGCUGAGUUCAAAGCCAGCCUGAGUCACUGACGCCAGGACAACCAGGGUUAUACAGCAAAACCUUGUCUCAAAAUGAAAUAGCUAAAUGCAGUAGCUAAAAGCCCAAGAUUGGAGAAGCAAAAAGAAGUUAAACUACAUGAUGCUGGCUCUGUAAUGAAGAUACCUGAAGAAUAAACAGGAAAAAAAGCAGACAAACCAGACUCUACCAAGGCUCAGAACACCUGCGUAUUAAAUACUAGCCACAGGUUCAAAAACUAUAAACAGAGACAAAAAUAUUUGAAAAAUCACAUCUAUUAGUGUCUAGAAUGGUUUUUUUUUAAUUUCUGAAAUUUAACAAAAUCAACUGAAAAUUUGGUCAGAGGAAUAGAAUGAAUAUCCCUCCAAACAAAGUAUAAGGGCAUGAAAAACUGUUAGUAUCACUAAUUAGGAAAUCAAAACUACCUGAGACACCUUUAUACUCAUAAAGAGAACUACUAUAAAAAUACAUAGAAAAUGACAAGUGUUGGAGGAUACAUGGGGAAACUGGGUCUCCCAUAUGCUGCAGGUAGGAAUGGAAAAGUCUAGUAGCCUCUCAAAGCUACUACAAUUCCCUAGGUCCUAGCAAGUCUACCCACACUCUAUAGGCCUGAGAAUAAGAACUGAGAUACACAGUCAGCAAUGUUCACAGCAGCAUCACUCACAGGAGCCCAAAGGUGGUGACAACCCAAGUGCCUAUCAAAGAUGGAUAAACAAAUGUAAGUACAUACAAUGUAACACCACUCAACCCGAGAAGUGGUAGCAUCCUGAUGCGUGUUACAGAAUAGACUGACCUCAGAAUCAUAGGAUCUAGGGAUGGGGCUAGCUAGAUAGCUCAGUGCUUAGGAGCACUGAUUGCUCUUCCAGAGGACCCAAGCUCAAUUCCUAGCAUCCACAUGACAGCUCACAAGCACCCGUAACUCAAGGGCCAGAGGACUGGAUCUUGCCUCUGCAGGCACCAGGUACACUCUUGGUACACAGACGCACAUACUGACAAAAAAUAUAAACAUAAAAUAAAAAUAAUUAAAAAAACAAACCAGGGGCUGGAGAGAUGGCUCAGCCGGUAAGAGAACUGACUGCUCUUCAGAAGAUCCUGAGUUCAAAUCCCAGCAACCACAUGGUGGCUCACAACCAUCUGUAAGGAGAUCUGACACCCUCUUCUGGAGUGUCUGAAGACAACUACAGUGCACUUACUUAUAAUAAAUAAAUAAAUCUUAAAGAAACAAAAACAGAUAGUAAAUAUACUAAUCCAAAUACUCAGACAGAUCUCUGUGAUCUGUGAGUUCAAGUCUAGCCUGGUCUAUACAGAAAGUUCCAGGCUAGACAGUCAGACCUUGUCCCCCAAAAAAGAUACCUCCCUCAAAGGAAAAAAAAGAAAACAUAUUUUGUGGUUAACUACUUAUUUUUGGUGGAGGUUUUUAUUUUGGGAUAGGGUGCAUUAAAGUCAGCCUCACACAGGUUAGGCAAGCCCUGUAUCUCUGAGCUACGUACCCCAGCCCAUGCUCAUUUCUUGAUUGGACACCUGUAUAAUCAAUAUUCAAUUUAUAUAUAUUAAAUUAGGUAUCAGAUUCUUUAAGAUUAAUAACUAGAUAAAAUAAAGAUCUGAAAAAUAAAAGAAUAUUUUAAAGCCUUGGUUAUAGUACACACAAAAUUGUGUACACAACAUUUAAGUACUGUUACAAGAAUAUCAUAAAAGGAUCUUGUAUUAGAAGUACUAAUCUAGAAAUAAAAAUCACUAAGCUAUCUUGUUGAGAAUGUUCAAACAGAAGACCACAGCAAUCAUCUAAUUCAAUUUUUGCUAUCAGGAGGGAAAAAAAAAAAAAAAAAAAACAGAAUAAACUGCUUCUAAGGUGAAACCUAAAGAUAUUCCCAAAACAUUUUACAUACAAAGGUAUGAGCUGAGGAAAAACAACAUCUGUAAAGAUUGAUCAUCUCUGUACAGUCCUUCAAGUGGGAAAAGUUAGUUAGAUGUAAUGGUAGUCAAGAAUGAACCAGAUACUAGCACAAUUCAGCCAGCAAUCUUCAGAAUUAAAUGUGAGUUAUUUGCUAGUACUAAGUAGGAUUGAAGCAAGAAUUGUGUGUUACUUAUAGGAACUUCACAUAUACACGUAAGCUGAGACAAAUCCUGCUGCCAUCUUGGAAUCUAGAAAUAAGUAGGCUCCUGGGUAGAACAGUUACAGUUCUAUCCUAUGCGUGUUAAGCACAGUAUUUUGUACUUGCCUGU
Molecule: long non-coding RNA, 3074 nt
Organism: Mus musculus (house mouse)
Lineage: Eukaryota; Metazoa; Chordata; Mammalia; Rodentia; Muridae
Product: predicted gene 15886
Exons: 4
Source: RefSeq, a predicted model, not a curated record